Molecule: long non-coding RNA, 220 nt
Filed under: Lathyrus oleraceus (garden pea)
Lineage: Eukaryota; Viridiplantae; Streptophyta; Magnoliopsida; Fabales; Fabaceae
Description: Pisum sativum (pea) long non-coding RNA (PSAT_LNC007717)
Source: RNAcentral
UUGUCAUCUUAGGUCUUGUUUUAAAAUAUAUAUUAUUGAAUGUAAAUAAAUUACUGGAUGUAUCACCUCUACAAUGUUUUAAGCGUGCGUGUUAAGGCUUUAUGUGUGCAAGAGGUCUAGGGUUCGAGUCCCCCUUGCCCCAGACCCAUUUUUUAUAUUGUUUUUUUUUUGCCUAUUUAUUUUUGUUAUUUUUGAUAACUUCAAAGGCUCAUAACUUGAU